Molecule: transfer RNA, 71 nt
Filed under: Marmota monax (woodchuck)
Lineage: Eukaryota; Metazoa; Chordata; Mammalia; Rodentia; Sciuridae
Rfam family: tRNA
About the family: Transfer RNA (tRNA) molecules are approximately 80 nucleotides in length. Their secondary structure includes four short double-helical elements and three loops (D, anti-codon, and T loops).
Source: Rfam by way of RNAcentral
GGAGAUGUGGCUCAGUGGUAGAGUGUUUAUCUAGUAUAAUAAGGCCCUGGGUUCUAAUCCCAGCUACUUGG